This 270-nucleotide ribosomal RNA is filed under the name uncultured bacterium. RNAcentral's name for it is "partial 16S ribosomal RNA". It matches the Rfam family "Bacterial small subunit ribosomal RNA", at positions 524 to 779 of the family's 1533-position model. The record is from RNAcentral.
UACGUAGGGAGCAAGCGUUGUCCGGAAUCAUUUGGGCGGUUAAAAGGCGCGCGUGAGGUUGGCCAUGUAAGUCCGCUGAUGAAAGGUCAAAGGCUCAACCCUUUGAAAGCCGGUGGAUACUGCACGGCUAGAGUACGGAAGAGGCGAGUGGAAUUCCUGGUGUAGCGGUGGAAUGACGUAGAGAUCCGGAAGAACACCAGUGGCGAAGGCGGCUUACUGGUCCGGUACUGGACCGCUGAGGAGCGAAAGCGAUGGGGAGCGAACGGAGGA